RNAcentral lists this ribosomal RNA (1067 nucleotides) under uncultured bacterium. Its description in RNAcentral is "bacterial SSU rRNA". It matches the Rfam family "Bacterial small subunit ribosomal RNA", at positions 338 to 1397 of the family's 1533-position model. The record is from RNAcentral.
CCUACUGGAGGCAGCAGUGAGGAAUAUUGGACAAUGGGCGCAAGCCUGAUCCAGCAAUACCGCGUGUGUGAAGAAGGCCUGAGGGUUGUAAAGCACUUUCAAUGGCAAUGAAUACCUACCGUCCAAUACCCGGUAGACUGACAUUACCCAUACAAGAAGCACCGGCUAACUCCGUGUCAGCUGCCGCGGUAAUACGGAGGGUGCAAGCGUUAAUCCUAAUUACUGGGCGUAAAGCGUGCGUACGCGGCUUGUUCAGUCAGAUGUGAAAGCCCCGGGCUUAACCUGGGAACUGCAUUUGAUACUGGCAGGCUAGAGUUUAGUAGAGGGGAGUGGAAUUUCAGGUGUAGCGGUGAAAUGCGUAGAGGAUCUGAAGGAACACCAGUGGCGAAGGCGGCUCCCUGGACUAAAACUGACGCUGAGGUACGAAAGCGUGGGUAGCAAACAGGAUUAGAUACCCUGGUAGUCCACGCCGUAAACGAUGUCAACUAACUGUUGGGUUCUUAAAGAACUUAGUAGUGGAGCUAACGUAUUAAGUUGACCGCCUGGGGAGUACGGCCGCAAGGCUAAAACUCAAAUGAAUUGACGGGGGCCCGCACAAGCGGUGGAUCAUGUGGUUUAAUUCGAUGCAACGCGAAGAACCUUACCUACCCUUGACAUGUAGUGAACUUUCCAGAGAUGGAUGGGUGCCUUCGGGAACACUAACACAGGUGAUGCAUGGUUGUCGUCAGCUUGUGUCGUGAGAUGUUGGGUUAAGUCCCGUACCGAGCGCAACCCUUAUCUUUAGUUGCCAGCGCGUAAUGCCGGGAACUCUAGGGAGACCGCCGGUGAUAAACCCGAGGAAGGUGGGGACGAUGUCAAGUCAUCAUGGUCCUCAUGGGUAGGGCUACACACGUGGGACAAUGCUCGGUACAGAGGGCAGCGAACUCGCGAGAGUAAGCAAAUUCCAGAAAGCCGAUCCUAGUCCGGAUUGGAGUCUGCAACUGGGUUCCAUGAAGUCGGAAUCGCUAGUAAUCGCAAAUCAGAAUGUUGCGGUGAAUACGUUCCCGGGCCUUGUACACUCCGCCCGU